UUUAAAAAAAUUCUAUAAAAUAAGAUCUUAAUUUGAUCUCAUUUUUAUUUAUUGUAAACCACUGUGGAUCCCAUCCUAGGACUCUGUCUGCAUGAGUCAAAUAAAAUGUUCCUCCCAUGGCAAUGAGGCUGGAUGUUGCCCGGCCAGUUCAACACAGAAUGUGAUGUAUAACAUCCAUUUUCUAAAAAAAACACCUCACCUUUUGCUCCAGAACUUCCUGGAAGAUCUGGCAUCCUCUGUUUUGAUACAGGACGACUGUUUACAACACAUCCUUCUGUGCCACCAGCUACUCCUGGAGUAUUCUGGCUCAUGUAGACCCAGACUAGGGGGGGAAAUGGGACUUAAAUUCAAUAAAUAAGUAAGAAGGAGACAAAGCCUGCAACUUCCUGAAAUUACCAAUAUGCUGUCAGGAUCCCAGAAAGAGAAGUGGUAAUUACAUGAGUAAAAACUGUGAUAUCCCAAUAUAUUUGACUAAUCUGGAUGAGCUCGAAGAUACUUUUGAGGCCACAUGUUAUCUGUUUAUAACAGAUCUGAUUAUGCCCCUCUUCAAAACAUAUGUUGUUCUGGAAGUUUUCUGAGCAAAUAUAGUUGAAUAUUGUCUGUUGUUACCUGUUGUUUUUUUUCUGGUUACUGUUUGUACCUUGAAUCAUGAAAUAUAGUUGGCAGGAGAGGGAGGAAACUAUUAUUGAAAGUUCUUUUCUUUUUUUAAAAAAAUGCAAACAAUCUUUCCAGUCGUAUUUACUUUAACAGUUUGUACACUAGAGCAGCAACUACUGCAGUUCAGGUAAACAACAGGUGUCAUUUACAGCAAAAAUUGUCCAUGGAAAUAACAAUAUCUUAAAAUUGACAAAAAUAUCUCACCUUUUUCUGCACAGUUAUACUAUUGGUGUGUGUGUGUGUGUGUGUGUGUGUGUGUGUUAGAGAGAGAGAGAGAGAUGAUUCCACUUCGUGGAAUUCUGGAAUUUGAAAAGGCUCCAGAGUUCUCUGGCUGAGACUUCUAAGUAUCCCUUCUUAAACUACAAAACCCCAGGAUUCCAUGGGAUGGAAUCAUUUAAGUUUAUAUUGAAUCAUAUUCUUAUAACUGUCAUGGAAAAAAAUCCCUGAUCUGCAGGGGAGGAGAAACAUUCUGCAGUUUCUCAUCCUUGCACAAGAAAAUGAGAGAAACAGCAAUUUGUAUCCAUAAUAUUUACUAACAAAGAAAAACUGUAAUAUUCUAUUUUCCUAUUCCCGUAAAAUCAAGCCAUUAUCACUCUCACAGAGGAUAAAAAUAGUAAAACUUAGCCUAUAUUUUUCCACGAAAGGAAGGAAAGAAAAAUGCUGUUUCUUUUCCCCCUGUGAUAUUUAUCAGAUUGUUUCUUUUUGCCUUGUGAUAUUCAUUAGAUCAGCCUUUCACAGCCUAUUGCAGUCCAAGCAUCUGCAGCCAACAUGAUCAGGCCUGCUGGGAAUGAAAGAAGUUAUAGUCCAGCACAACACCUUGGUAAAGUCUGCCACCAGUCAGUAGAAAUUAAUCCUAUGCUACACAUUAUCCAGUAAGAAAUAUUAUUAUUGUUGUGUAUGCCUUAAAGUCAUUUCUGACUUAUGACAACCCUAAGGCAAACCUAUCACAGGGUUUUCAUGGCAAGAUUUGUUCAGAGUGGGUUGUCUUUGCCUUCCUCUGAGGCUGAGAGAGUGAGAUCUGCCCAAAGUCGCCCAGUGAGUUUCCUUGGCUGAGCAGGGAUUCGGAGGCUGCCCUUGUGGCAGCUGGGCCCCGAUCUGGCGGGGAAAGGGCCGCUUACAGGCCGCCCCAAACGGGCAGUCUGUAACCUGACAAAAGCACUAGAAGAGAAAGAGCAGUUCCCAUAUCUCAAUGUUUUCCCAUUAUAGAACAUGCACGUUUUCCCCCAAUUUACUUUAUUCCUUUUCUUUGUUUCAUAUCAUCUUGAGAAUAAUGAAUUCAUCUGCCCUAAAGACAGACAUUAUUAGUUGACAAAGGAAUUCCCCCAUGCUGUGUGCAAGCUGCAACUCCAGAAAUUUCUGGUCAGAGCCCCUGAAGAAGGCCAUUUGGUGACCAGGCUGAAACACAUUGGCUGAAACAUUUUAAGAUAAUAAAGUUUUUGGACCAUCAACAGCAUGUGAAUUUUGGACAAAAUUUCUGGAUUCAUACACUUAAUACCCUAACCCUCAACCCAGAGGACAAUGCCAUCCUCCACCAAACUAUGGUGAAAGCAGAGUUCCAGACUGCAAACUUGGAUGCAAAUCAGUUUCUCAACUUUAGCAUCUGAAAAAGGAGGAAUCCAAAAUGUU
Sceloporus undulatus (fence lizard) is the source of this 2283-nucleotide long non-coding RNA. RefSeq lists it as uncharacterized. The record is from RefSeq and is a predicted model, not a curated record. The transcript is spliced from 3 exons. Lineage: Eukaryota; Metazoa; Chordata; Lepidosauria; Squamata; Phrynosomatidae.